Molecule: ribosomal RNA, 249 nt
Filed under: Ixodes persulcatus (taiga tick)
Lineage: Eukaryota; Metazoa; Arthropoda; Arachnida; Ixodida; Ixodidae
Description: partial 12S ribosomal RNA
Source: RNAcentral
AAACUAGGAUUAGAUACCCUAUUUUUAGCAUGUAUAUUGGUAGUAAAUAAAAUUUAUGAAAUCAUAAAAUUUUGGCGGUAUUUUAAGCUUAUUAGAGGAAUUUGCUCUGUAAUGGACACAACGCCUAGAUCUUACUUAAUUUGGUUAAGGCAGUUUGUAUACCACUAUAUUUAAUUAUAUUGAAUAGUUAUAUUUAAAAUUUUUUUAAAAUAAAAAAAUAUAUUAAGAAAAGGUGCAAUAAAUAAUUAU